RNAcentral lists this ribosomal RNA (121 nucleotides) under uncultured bacterium. RNAcentral describes it as "partial 16S ribosomal RNA". It matches the Rfam family "Bacterial small subunit ribosomal RNA", at positions 628 to 748 of the family's 1533-position model. The record is from RNAcentral.
UGAAACUGAGGAUCUUGAGGGCAGGAGAGGAAAGUGGAAUUCCUGGUGUAGCGGUGAAAUGCGUAGAAAUCAGGAGGAACACCGGUGGCGAAGGCGACUGCCUGGACUGUCCCUGACGCUG